RNAcentral lists this transfer RNA (88 nucleotides) under Kitasatospora xanthocidica. RNAcentral describes it as "tRNA-Pro". The record is from RNAcentral. Lineage: Bacteria; Bacillati; Actinomycetota; Actinomycetes; Kitasatosporales; Streptomycetaceae.
GCCCGGGUGGCCCGGGUGGCCUGGGACGGGGGCGGUUUCCGGGCCCGGGCCCGGGUUCGGGCCCGGGUUCGGGCCCGGGUUCGGGCGC